Molecule: RNA transcript, 1252 nt
Organism: Brassica oleracea var. oleracea
Lineage: Eukaryota; Viridiplantae; Streptophyta; Magnoliopsida; Brassicales; Brassicaceae
Exons: 3
Source: RefSeq, a predicted model, not a curated record
GCCCAACUCUGAUAACUCCGCUAGGGUUUCUGUUCUUCUUCCUCCGACACCUAUCAACUUCAUUCUGCGUUCUAACACAUUGUCAAUGGUGUUUCUAUAAUUUCGAUGACUUAAAUCAAGAUGAAGAAUCUCUUUGUUUGUCUUAACUCGCGUAGUUUAGCCUUCUACUCAACCGAAACUUUCAGUUUAAUCGCGACCUCUGAACUUCGUCUCCAUCAUCGAAACGUCACAGAAUCUUCAUAUUAAAUAUCUUAUUAAUUGAAUCAAUCAUGAUGUAGCCUUCAGUGCGAUAUUUUCUUCAGCGACGACAAUAAAAAGAUAAGCAUUCGUCCGCUCGAAAUCAUCUUAUCAAUCUGUUCAAUCAACGCAAUAGAUAUAUUUCCUGAGAAAUGGCUAAUUCCAAAGUUUUUCUCUCUGAUUUGAUAUCUCUUCCACAGUUGAGGUUAGAUUGCUGCGAUUCUGGAAGCGGCCCUGGUGAACUCAUGUCCGUUGAUAUGCUAUUACGUGAUUCAAAACAUUUAGAUUCUGCUUCUUGAUUAUGAAACCUUCCCGAUUCUGUUUCAUACGAAUUUUAUUCCCGCCCACCGUAAGUGCUAACCGGGCUCGAACCUUAUCUUCAACCACCGGUGAGAAGCAAAUAGGGUUCGAGCCGGAAGAUCUUCCACCAUUGUCCAGUGAGUUCCGAUAAGGUUCAGCUGUCAGGGAGGAAGCGGCUGGUUGGAGGGGUCUCAACCAACGUGAGUUCCAAGAGAGCCAAGAAAAUCUAUAAACAAGGUGAGAAAUGGGAUCAAAUUUCAGAAGACUUUUUGGUGAGAAAGAUGAGAUUGUUUAGCCUACGAAUAAUGAUCUUGAGGCUGCUGAUCUUGAUGAAGAUGGAGUUGUUAGAGCUGCAGAGUUUAUAGUGUAUAACUGAAAGAGAUGGGGAAGACUGAUGAGAAAGAUAUCUGUGGGAUCAUGGAAGAGUUUGAGCAGCUAGAUUACGACGUGUCUGGAACUCUGACGACUUCUGACAUCGUUCUAGCUCAGAUGAAUCAGAAUCUUUGUUAUGUUAUAUAUGCACAGCACCGAACAACAACAACAAGCAGAGGAUGUUAACAAUUUUUUUUUGGAACUUUUGUAUGUUUCUGUCUGUGUUAUUUUGUAACGGCACAUUCUCACUCUUUGACUGUCUUUUUUUUUUUUUUGGAUGCUUGAGUCUAUGAUCUACAAACGUAUAGAUAUUUCGACUGAUACAAACACUUUGUGUAAUAAA